Long non-coding RNA from Capra hircus (goat), 787 nucleotides. RefSeq lists it as uncharacterized. The record is from RefSeq and is a predicted model, not a curated record. Lineage: Eukaryota; Metazoa; Chordata; Mammalia; Artiodactyla; Bovidae. The transcript is spliced from 3 exons.
CCAAUCCUAAAAGCAGAGUUGUGUUCUUUUUGUUUUCAUAUAGGGAAAUUGAAACUAGAGAAAGCGGCUUCUCCAGGGUUAUACUGCUAAUCCCCUACAAGUCUAGGAUUACAACUUCUGUCACCUGACUUCCAGUCCGUUCCAUUUCCAGAGCCAUUCUGUGGGAUCCUGAAAGUUCAGCUGACACCCCACUGGGAACAUGCCUGCGCCAGCCCAGACAGGUCAAAGGACAGGAUUCCAAGCCGUUGAGAUGGUCUCUGGAGAAGCCUGGAAUUUCCCUGUGUCACAAGGGUGGCAGAAAGAGGCAGGCUUGCCAGCACCCCCGGUUCCCUUGCCAAGUGGAGCAUCUCUCAGGAUGGGAAGGGGCCCCCACCUCUUUGGUGACCCUGGCCAUCGGUUCCUGAAUGUCUGGUUUCAAGGGCCCUGAGCAGCUUGUGUCACAGGAGCAUGGAGUCAUCACAGAGUAUUUGCAUCCGAAAUACAUUUUCCUCCACAACAGUGCCCGGGUUAGAGUAAGCGAAGGCGAUUCUGUGCACUUUGGUGAAUCAGUGAUGGGUCUGUCUGCCUUUAGAUCUAUCUGACUGUUAUGUUCCCUAUGUGAUUCUCAUCAGAGAGCACUGCAGAGUUCCUGGAGAAUCCCCUAGCAGACCCUACCAGGAAAUGGGGUUCCACAGAGGUGACUGUGGUGAAUGACUAAAGACCACUCCGAGGGCAAACUUAAAAAACUGCAAGACUAAAGAGCACUUAAAAUAUAUUUUUUAUAAUUUAAAUGUAAAGCUUCCUAAAA